UGAAUUAACUUAAUUUAGCAAUAGUGAAGCUUAUUUAUAAUAUUGUAUUUAAAUUGUAAAAUGACUAAUAGGAAACAGUUAUACAAGAUUUCUAUAUUUUCUAGAAAUAACCUAUGUUUCCUGGGAACACCUACAAAUAGAAAGCGACAAACAAGACGGUUAAAGGCCACAAAAUGGGAACCAACAAAAUUAAAAUAUUACAACUACUUAUGAAGCUACUUGAAACUAGUGGUUUUCAGAUCUUCCCACUAUGGUGGUUGGAGUGUUUGGUUUUACCACAACCAUCAAAACUCAUCUACAAGUCAUUAUGUUUUCUGUAAAUAUUAAUUAUUUGAACAUAUAACUUUUGUGUGAAAAGAAACUAACAUACACUUGGUAUUACAGUUGAGUGUUUUAGACAUCCAUAACCAGUAGAAGUUGUCUGUAAUUUGGUAGUAUGC
This is a non-coding RNA of Cinara cedri, 440 nucleotides long. The record is from the annotation of a GenBank genome assembly. NCBI's taxonomy places the organism in Eukaryota, Metazoa, Arthropoda, Insecta, Hemiptera, Aphididae.